This 632-nucleotide long non-coding RNA is filed under the name Bos taurus (domestic cattle). RNAcentral's name for it is "long non-coding RNA NONBTAT005974". The record is from RNAcentral. Lineage: Eukaryota; Metazoa; Chordata; Mammalia; Artiodactyla; Bovidae.
GUCAUUUAUGGGGUUAGAGUUAUGCCUGAAAGAAUACAAAGUGAAAUGACAUGAAGUUAAGCUUAUGAACUCAUCUGGGAAAUUUGUUUUGCAGGAUGAAUUCAUUCACAGUGUUCUGAGACCUUUAUCUAAGCUACUCAAGUACUCUUAUGUGACAUUUGCUAGAUAAUCUAGACAGCACUUUGGUUAAAUCCACAGUGUGAUGUCAUCCAGUAAACACUUGAAAGUGGAGAUGCAUGUCUCUUCUGGUUUUAUCAGUCUAGAUUAGCAGUGCUUCACAGCACAGUGAACUUUUCUCCUCUGUGAUCCAUCAGCCUGCGUCUCAUUGCGGGCCAAUAAUCUGUCACCUGAAACUACUUAAAAUAGGUUGGGCUUUCUUGACUAUCGUGUUGCUGUGAUGACAUCGGGGUUUGGCUGCACAAGAAGGGAAAGCACUGUUUUAUAACUUGUGGUUGCCUCCGUAUCCCUCGUUUCCAGUAAAAGCACUGAUUUUUUAGCCUUUGCUUAUAUGCCUAGACUUUAUAUGUACCUGUUGUACAUUUCAUCUCGUUACAGACUGAGGCUCCUACUGUGCUUAUCUUUGUAUCUCUGUCAAAGAAAAAAAAAUUGUGGAGCUUAGAAGGUAUCAGAGU